AUUGAACGCUGGCGGCGUGCUUAACACAUGCAAGUCGAUCGGUAACAGGUGUAGCAAUACAUGCUGACGAGAGGCGGACGGGUGAGUAAUGCUUGGGAAUCUGCCUAUUAGUGGGGGACGAACCCGGGGAAACGUCGGGCUAAUACCGCAUACGCUCUACGGAGGAAAGCCGGGGACCGCAAGGCCUGGCGCUAAUAGAUGAGCCCAAGUCGGAUUAGCUAGUUGGUAGGGUAACGGCCUACCAAGGCGACAAUCCGUAGCUGGUCUGAGAGGACGACCAGCCACACCGGAACUGAGACACGGUCCGGACUCCUACGGGAGGCAGCAGUGGGGAAUAUUGGACAAUGGGGGCAACCCUGAUCCAGCGACGCCGCGUGGGUGAAGAAGGCCUGCGGGUUGUAAAGCCCUUUCGGUGGGGAAGAAAAGUCUCGACCUAAUACGUCGGGACCUUGACGUAACCCACUAAAGAAGCACCGGCUAACUCUGUGCCAGCAGCCGCGGUAAU
Molecule: ribosomal RNA, 505 nt
Filed under: uncultured bacterium
Lineage: Bacteria
Description: bacterial SSU rRNA
Rfam family: Bacterial small subunit ribosomal RNA
Source: RNAcentral